ACUACGGGUGGCAGCAGUGAGGAAUAUUGGUCAAUGGACGGAAGUCUGAACCAGCCAUGCCGCGUGCAGGAAGACGGCUCUAUGAGUUGUAAACUGCUUUUGUACAAGGGUAAACCUCAAUACGUGUCUUCAGCUGAAAGUACUGUACGAAUAAGGAUCGGCUAACUCCGUGCCAGCAGCCGCGGUAAUACGGAGGAUCCAAGCGUUAUCCGGAUUUAUUGGGUUUAAAGGGUGCGUAGGCGGCUUUAUAAGUUAGAGGUGAAAGUUUGGAGCUUAACUCGGGAACUGCCUCUAAUACUGUUGAUCUAGAGAGUAGAUGCGGUAGGCGGAAUGUAUGGUGUAGCGGUGAAAUGCGUAGAGAUCAUACAGAACACCGAUUGCGAAGGCAGCUUACCAAUCUAUAUCUGACGUUGAGGCACGAAAGCGUGGGGAGCAAACAGGAUUAGAUACCCGUGUAGUC
This 460-nucleotide ribosomal RNA is filed under the name uncultured bacterium. Its description in RNAcentral is "partial 16S ribosomal RNA". It matches the Rfam family "Bacterial small subunit ribosomal RNA", at positions 338 to 795 of the family's 1533-position model. The record is from RNAcentral.